This 301-nucleotide ribosomal RNA is filed under the name uncultured bacterium. RNAcentral's name for it is "partial 16S ribosomal RNA". It matches the Rfam family "Bacterial small subunit ribosomal RNA", at positions 509 to 809 of the family's 1533-position model. The record is from RNAcentral.
CAGUCGCCGCGGGAAUACGGAGGGUGCGAGCGUUAAUCGGAAUUACUGGGCGUAAAGCGUACGCAGGCGGUGUGUUAAGUCAGAUGUGAAAUCCCCGAGCUUAACUCGGGAACUGCAUUUGAAACUGGCAGGCUAGAGUCUCGUAGAGGGUGGUAGGAUUCCGGGUGUAGCGGUGAAAUGCGUAGAGAUCUGGAGGAAUACCGGUGGCGAAGGCGGCCCCCUGGACGAAGACUGACGCUCAGGUACGAAAGCGUGGGGGGCAAACAGGAUUAGAUACCCCUGUAGUCCCUGUCUCUUAUAA